Molecule: ribosomal RNA, 497 nt
Filed under: uncultured bacterium
Lineage: Bacteria
Description: partial 16S ribosomal RNA
Rfam family: Bacterial small subunit ribosomal RNA
Source: RNAcentral
GAUGAACGCUGGCGGCGUGCCUAAUACAUGCCAGUCGAGCGAACAGACGAGGAGCUUGCUCCUCUGACGUUAGCGGCGGACGGGCGAGUAACACGUGGAUAACCUACCUAUAAGACUGGGAUAACUUCGGGAAACCGGAGCUAAUACCGGAUAAUAUAUUGAACCGCAUGGUUCAAUAGUGAAAGACGGUUUUGCUGUCACUUAUAGAUGGAUCCGCGCCGCAUUAGCUAGUUGGUAAGGUAACGGCUUACCAAGGCGACGAUGCGUAGCCGACCUGAGAGGGUGAUCGGCCACACUGGAACUGAGACACGGUCCAGACUCCUACGGGAGGCAGCAGUAGGGAAUCUUCCGCAAUGGGCGAAAGCCUGACGGAGCAACGCCGCGUGAGUGAUGAAGGUCUUCGAAUCGUAAAACUCUGUUAUUAGGGAAGAACAAAUGUGUAAGUAACUAUGCACGUCUUGACGGUACCUAAUCAGAAAGCCACGGCUAACUACGUG